UGGGGAAUAUUGGACAAUGGGGGGAACCCUGAUCCAGCCAUGCCGCGUGUGUGAAGAAGGCCUUUUGGUUGUAAAGCACUUUAAGCGAGGAGGAGAGCACUCUUGUUAAUAGCAAGAAGUGUUGGACGUUACUCGCAGAAUAAGCACCGGCUAACUCUGUGCCAGCAGCCGCGGUAAUACAGAGGGUGCGAGCGUUAAUCGGAUUUACUGGGCGUAAAGCGUGCGUAGGCGGCUAAUUAAGUCGGAUGUGAAAUCCCCGAGCUCAACUUGGGAAUUGCAUUCGAUACUGGUUAGCUAGAGUAUGGGAGAGGAUGGUAGAAUUCCAGGUGUAGCGGUGAAAUGCGUAGAGAUCUGGAGGAAUACCGAUGGCGAAGGCAGCCAUCUGGCCUAAUACUGACGCUGAGGUACGAAAGCAUGGGGAGCAAACAGG
RNAcentral lists this ribosomal RNA (430 nucleotides) under uncultured bacterium. Its description in RNAcentral is "bacterial SSU rRNA". It matches the Rfam family "Bacterial small subunit ribosomal RNA", at positions 355 to 776 of the family's 1533-position model. The record is from RNAcentral.